Heterocephalus glaber (naked mole-rat) is the source of this 771-nucleotide long non-coding RNA. RefSeq lists it as uncharacterized. Lineage: Eukaryota; Metazoa; Chordata; Mammalia; Rodentia; Bathyergidae. The record is from RefSeq and is a predicted model, not a curated record.
CUUCCGGUCUCGAGCCUGGGCGGCUUGUAGGUAGGAGGAUUAAGGUCGGACCUAGGUUGAAGAAGAAAAACACCAGGCUCAACAUUUGUAAUCGUACCGGCCUAAAAACAUUUCUUCUCUUUUUGUCCAUUUCUGCUCAAUGAGCUGCCCGUAAGAGAAAACUCCCUUUAGACAUUCUUCUAAGUUGGAGUCGCUGGCAACAAAUUCUCUUGGUUUACUGAGAUUGUCACUGAAUGCCUGGACCACACAGCCCUGGCUCCUGAGGUCCCAACAGAUUUGGCCACCUGCUGCCUGCAAGAUCCAAUGAGAGAGAAGAAUGGUGGUGAAACAGAGAAGGGAUUCAUUUUUGGCAUAGUCAUCUGGAAAGACAGCAGGUCUACUGAACUCCUAAGAAAACUGCAUCCAAAAAAAAGAAAACUGCAUCUGAGGCAUGGACAGCAGCUCCAGGAUUAUACAGCAGAAGAACUACAGUAGGAGGCAAAAGUAUGCAGCCAGGCACUCUUGGUCACACUGGGGUACAGUCCAGUCCCACAAGGUCACACUGUCACCAGGGAAGAUGACUGCUUGCAAGGUUCGCUGUUCCUGGACUUUGAGAGAAGUUUGCUUUUGGAAGACACUUGGGCUGGCACAUGCACUCUGUCUCCCCGCCUGACACCCUCUGCUGUGUCCAGAUGCAGCAAAAUGGCCUCCCCUGAUGAUGUGCAGACCCCAGCACCUUGCUCUCCUUCCCAGCAUCCAGAACCACGAGCCAAAUAAACUUCUGUUCUAUAC